GGCCCGAGUUGUAAUUUGCAGAGGAUGCUUUUGGCGCGGCGCCUUCCGAGUUCCCUGGAACGGGACGCCAUAGAGGGUGAGAGCCCCGUCUGGUCGGACGCCAAGCCAGUGUAAAGCUCCUUCGACGAGUCGAGUAGUUUGGGAAUGCUGCUCUAAAUGGGAGGUAUAUGUCUUCUAAAGCUAAAUAUAGGCCAGAGACCGAUAGCGCACAAGUAGAGUGAUCGAAAGAUGAAAAGCACUUUGAAAAGAGGGUUAAACAGUACGUGAAAUUGUUGAAAGGGAAGCACUUGUGACCAGACUUGGGCCCGGUGAAUCAUCCAGCGUUCUCGCUGGUGCACUUCGCCGGGCCCAGGCCAGCAUCAGUUCGCCGCGGGGGAUAAAAGCUUCGGGAACGUAGCUCCCUCGGGAGUGUUAUAGCCCGUUGCAUAAUACCCUGCGGUGGACUGAGGUUCGCGCUCCGCAAGGAUGCUGGCGUAAUGGUCACCAGUGACCCGUCUUGAAACACGGACCAAGGAGUCGUCUUCGUAUGCGAGUGUUCGGGUGUCAAACCCCUACGCGUAAUGAAAGUGAACGCAGGUGAGAGCUUCGGCGCAUCAUCGACCGAUCCUGAUGUUCUCGGAUGGAUUUGAGUAAGAGCAUACGGGGCCGGACCCGAAAGAAGGUGAACUAUGCCUGUAUAGGGUGAAGCCAGAGGAAACUCUGG
This 703-nucleotide ribosomal RNA is filed under the name Tolypocladium inflatum. RNAcentral's name for it is "partial large subunit ribosomal RNA". It matches the Rfam family "Eukaryotic large subunit ribosomal RNA", at positions 135 to 867 of the family's 3401-position model. The record is from RNAcentral. Lineage: Eukaryota; Fungi; Ascomycota; Sordariomycetes; Hypocreales; Ophiocordycipitaceae.